Zootermopsis nevadensis is the source of this 1720-nucleotide non-coding RNA. The record is from RefSeq and is a predicted model, not a curated record. Lineage: Eukaryota; Metazoa; Arthropoda; Insecta; Blattodea; Termopsidae.
UCAAAUCCAAAGAGCUUCUGUAGAGAGCUGCUGUACCACACAUCGACUGAUGAACAUGCUGACAAUUUCAUUAUUCAGACUUCCUGAAAUUACCUCAGAAAAUUUGGUUGGAACGCUAUAGGUUGUUUGUCCAACAUACCAUUGUACUACAUAAGAUGCCACACUGGUAGAAGCACAGGCAGAUUAUGCACAAAGUAUAAGAAUUAAUUCUUAUUGUCUUUGGCUGUGUUAGCUUUCUUCAUACUGCAUUAUCAAAGACAAUGAGAUAAAACAGGUAACUUUUUUGAAAUUGCUAGAACUUCAACCAAAUUAUUAAUUUCUCAGGUGAUCAAAAAUACCUGAAAAUAUUUCAGAAGAUGAGAGAUUUGUGCUAAAACUUGGAAGAAAAAUUCAAUGUAAAUAUCAACCAAUGUUUAUGUACUGAUAUGUAUCAACUGAAAGUACUUUUUGAACAUAGAAUUUAUGAUUUUAUGAAGAAUAUUUAAAACAGUUGACUCUGUGAAAUAAUGUAGUGGUGAGAGAGAGAAAGAGGAGGGAAUGGGGAAAGAAAAUUUAGAAUAUCCACACCCAACAUAAAUUUUAAUUUAAGAAUAUUGAAUUAUUCAUAGUGGAAUCAAAUUACAGCCUGAUCAUAUUGUCCGUGCAAAUGUGCAUUCACUCCAGGCCAGUGAGAACAAGUUACAAAAUGUACAAAUAGCAUAACAUGGCUGACACUUUCAGCAGAAUUGACAUUUGACCUUUCUGAAUGGUGCCAGUGACAUGAGAGUUGUCUUUAUUGUUGGUGUGACUAUAGCAAUAACCAAGGUAGCUUCGGGAUUCCCCAUUAAAAUAUUUCCACGCGCACAUGCAGAAAAACAUGUAGGUCUCCUCGUAAAAUAUCUGUUAUCCGAUUUCCACCACAAUUGGCAUGUCUUGAGUAACAUUAGUAAAACUGCCCAACAUCAAAUUUUAUGACAUCCUAUGUUUUCAAUUUUAAUAAGGUAAACUGCAAAUGUGUCUAAACUUCAUAUAAUUUUAAAAUGAGGUACUGUAGUAUGAAUAUUGAUGCAACUGUAAGUACCAAGUCAUUCAGGGGAAACUAAUUAUAAUAAAUACAAGAGGUAUGUCUAAACUUGUAUUUAGCAUGUGAUUUGAAGGAGGAAUGGCAUGCAUCCCAACAGAUGGUCUCAGAUUUGAUCUCAUUCAUUGGUUCUUAACCUCAAAAUAAAAAUCCCUGUUAACUUCAUAAACAGCAGUGUUUGCAAAUGAACCACAAAUGUAUGAUCAGGUGGCAACAGACUUGCAUCAAAAUGUUUUUUUUUAUGUUUUGGUGUUGUUUGUGUACUCUUUUGUGCUUAAUCCAAUGGAUUCUUUCUGGUAAGUGCCCAUGAGUCUUCUCUCUUCCCACAACAUGGAUAGUAAAAAUUACUGCAUUUCUGAAGAUGCAGCUCUGUGCUGUGUCUGGUGGCAUGAUAUGGACCACCUUUAAAAACAUGUUGUAGAUAUAGUGAACAUGUCACCAUGUUUGAAUAUGUUUCUUUCAUGGCACCUGUCAGCAAUCACCGGUAAGUGUUUGUUUCCUGUAACUUGUGCAAUUUCCACUGUGUGAAAACAAUCCUUCAUUUAUUCAAUGUGAAAGAGAUUGUAGUAGCAUGUACUAAUUUAUACUUAAUGUUGUUUUAUAUGUUAUGAUAUUUUAAUAUGCUAAGAUGUAUAUAUUUAGUAAAUUCUGUAAGACUUA